UCUUGUUACUUGUCAAUAGCAUCGGUUCUUUUUUAAUUUUAAAUAGGAAUCUUUGAAAGGCAAUCUGAUUUAUAAAUAUUAAAUUGUGAACUCUAUUAAUUGCAUGGAACUGAAGGUAUCUUGAUUGUUGAAUUAUAUGAAUGUUAGAAUUUUGGCCAAAAACAGAAGCCUUAAUUUGUUUACAGGGAAAUGCAUGAAGGUUUAGAACAUAAAAAGCAAAAUUACUACUUUUGAUGGAAGUUUGAUAAACCGCUGAUUUGAUUAUCUUUGUUAUGAUGGUUUGUUGGCAUUUUUUCCUACCUUCUUUCGUAUAUUUCCUGCAUCUUUCAUUAGCCUGUGGUUGGGUUUGCAAAUUUGUAACAAAAAUUCCCUUAGAGAGAAGAAAUGUAGGACCAGAGAACAUGACUGUAAGGAAAGCUCCCUUCUGAUAGUGCAAUUUUUAUUUUUUCCUUUUAAAGCAUCUUUUAUGCAUCCUUAACUAAAUACCAGGGAUGUGAGUUGGAUAAUUACAUUUCAAUCAAGGAGUUGUAUAUGGCUUUGAGGAAAGGAGAUUUAAUAGUCCUGGGAUCCCUUCUAAUUUGGUUUUUUUAUUUUUAUUUAUGCUUUCGAAGUCCUUACUAAUGUUUUAAUGGUGGGUAAUGGUUACAACAGGGCAGUGAGCUUUAAUAUUAUACCAUGUUGGAGUGGAUCCUUGUGACAGCAGAUCAUCUCAUAAUUUACUGUCUUCUAGCGACUGGAUUUUUAAUGUAUUCCUGUCUUGGUUUCCUCUUACUUGGUUCUCCAUGUCGCGACUGGGGCAUGUUUCCUUUCACUGCACUGAAGGACUUGAGCUAAGAAGGGGACCAAGUUAUGCAGGAUGAUCCUUGGAUGUAUGGUAGGGACACUUGGACAGUGUAUGAACCCUCAGCAGAUGUUUUAUGAUAGUUAUCAGAUUUCCCCAACUUAUGUAGUGUCUUGGUUUUCUGUGUUUUGAAACAUUUUGGGUAAAAGAUUUUAUUUUAUAAUAAACAAUGACACUGGCUAGUUGAGGUGCCCUGCAGAUUUCACAUCAUCAAUAUUUUGUGUGAUUUUGACUUAAUGUGCUUUGAAUAUUCUAAAUCCUCUUACUCCUAAUUCCUAGUAAUCUUCCCAUUUAAUGUAGUAUUUAAUGUUUUUGUUUUCAAAUGCAUUGAUUGUUUUUCAUUUAAAAGCAAUGGAAAAUAUUAUAAUGAGACUCGGUGAAAUUGAUUCUAUUGCGCAUGAUGAGUUUUAGUGUUCCCCCUAUUGGUUGUAUCUCGCAAUGCUUCUAAUAUAGUAUCCCAAACCUCUGACAAAGAAACUGUGCAAAUUCUUUGAAUUCUAUAUGUUUUCUGCUAUAAGCCAUAUUUUAAUGGUAUUCCAUGAGUUUUCUUCCUUAAAGUUUAAACCCUCUGAUGAAGCAUAUAUUUGACCAAAUAUUAAUCAUGUUAUCUUGAUAUGAAAUAUGAUUAUGAAAUUUAUGUCUAGCUAAUUAUCACAUUGAGCUUCAAAUCCUUUAUUUUUGAUUUUAUUUUGAUUGUAUGUGUCUUAAGCCCUCUUUUGAUCCCUAUGAUAUUUAUGUAGAUUGGAAAAUAGCCUGUUGAACCAGUUACCUGCUGUGAUCGAAGAUCCUUCGAUUUUUGUAGUUUGUUGUUUAUAAAUUGGUGCUUCCAACAUUAUCUUUUUUAGUUCCAAAUGCUUUAUUUUCCAUUUUAUUUUGAUUGUCUGUCUUAAGAAUUUUUUUAUCUAACUCUGUUCCUCUCUACAG
This 1765-nucleotide long non-coding RNA is filed under the name Medicago truncatula (barrel medic). Its description in RNAcentral is "long non-coding RNA (MTRU_LNC001182)". The record is from RNAcentral. Lineage: Eukaryota; Viridiplantae; Streptophyta; Magnoliopsida; Fabales; Fabaceae.